Molecule: long non-coding RNA, 2578 nt
Filed under: Marmota monax (woodchuck)
Lineage: Eukaryota; Metazoa; Chordata; Mammalia; Rodentia; Sciuridae
Source: RNAcentral
CGGCUUUAAUCAGCAUGCUGCACAUUCUGUCAAACUGCCCCCCCCCCGCUUUUUUUUUUUUUCUUUUCUUUUGAAAGCAAUACAUUAUUUCUUAGAUUUUGGCAAAAGCUAGACUUCUGCUAGCCACAAAGUGACUACAUAAAGGCUGUUACCAAGCCGAUUUCCCGUCUCUGCCAAGAGGCUGUUCCCCGGCACUGCCCUAAAUUAAUAAGGCCAAUCAGAAAUGCACAAAGCCUGGAUGGCCAAUCACUCUUCUGGAGGUUUUUGCCAUCUUCUCUGCGGUCAGAUAAAUCACGUUAAAGCCAUUACACCAAUGACCAUAAAUUAGGGGGCCUGGCUGUCCGUUCCUCCGAGGACGCUACAGACUAAGAUGAUUCCCGGGGGCUGCACUGGGGCCUCGGGGGUGUUACUGAGUUGUGGGGGUCCUUGGGGUGCGGGAGGGUGGAUGGGCGAGGCGCCGGGUAUUGGUUCUUGCAGAAUGCGCGAGGUGGACUCGCGCAACCUCCAGGGUCCACAUUUGAGCUGCACCCAGCUGCUGACACGCGCUGCUCAGAGAUGGCCUCGAUUCCCCAGGUGCGGGGACUCCAUCUGCGCGGCUCCUCGAGACUAUUUACAACCGAGGUUAGGUCGGUGAUUGCUGGCAUGGAAAACUCAUUUCUCAGCCUGACUUUUAUUUACAGUCUUAUUAAGGAGGCUUUCGCUCACGUAGGACUGGCAGCAAGAAGCUGGCGGCCGAUUGCGCGGUGGGGGGAGUGACCGCGGCCCCAGAGCCGACAGGAGAGUGGCAAAGCGCGGGGACAAAGGCGCGGGAAGCCUGGGCGCCCGGCUCUGCAGACGGCAAGGGGCCGCUGCUUUUCCACCACCCUGGGAAAGUUCGAUGGCUCCGUGGCUGAAUUUUUCCUUGCAGUGUUUAGCUGGUUCCUGGCUCCAUUCUCCCCUGCCCCCGGCCCAGGCACUCUUUGUAAAUUCAUAAUAACACGCACCGGUUACCAAAGUGCUUCACCCCCAUCUAAAACCCGAGGUAGAGGUCUAAUCCUUCUCCCGUAAUAGACCCAUUUCCACCUGCAGCUCAGGAUGGCUGGAAGAAGGCUCUGAACGCCCUCUGGGGUCUCCGCUGCCUGGCCAAGCCCGGAGAAGGCGGCGGGGUUGGACUCAGCAGUAACGACUCCCGGGAGGAACAGCUCCGGGCUGUUCUUUCCAUUGGCACCGUCUCAAACCCGAGCAGGCCCUCGUGUGUGCGUGUGAGCCUGCAUGUCCUGAAAAUGCUCCUGCAGCCCCGGCACAUCUGGGUCCCCUAACCAUGCAUAUUCAUGCCUGCCAGCAGUAAAACCCAGGUCAGCUGCUAGGAGACAGUGAACUGCCUUCUUGAAAGCUGACCAAGCCCCAGAAUCUAAUAAAAGACCCAACUGUCUCCUCUCCAACUCUAUGCAGAGCCUCAUAACACUUGAGACAUUAUUUUUGUUGUUUUGUUUUUUUUCGUAAAAGGAACAAAGGAAACCUGGAGAAGUCUUGCUGCUGUAGAGCCGAGGAGGGGUUUCUAACCUUGUUCCCACUGCCAUAGAAACUGAUUUCACUCUGGUAGCUUGCCUGGUUCCCCUGGCCUCUUGGAUGAGGGGAUGACAUUUUCUUAUUCUGUCUUCUGCACAGGGUCCCUCCCAUUUAACAUGUUUACCAUCCCUUCUUUUAUCAUUUUCCUUUUUGUGUGAGUUGCUCUUUCCCUUCCUCUUCUUCCCAGAAAAGAGUGGAUUCCUUUUCUACCAUCCUACAUUUCUGUCACUUUGUUCAGAAAUGCCCCUUUCCUUCUCUUUAGUAGCUCAGGGGUGCAGCCCCUCGCUGGCACAGCCUGGGGGAUGGGGAACUAAACCUGGUGCACUGGAAAGAGAACAUCAGAGCAAUGACACUUGGUUUUCCUACCAACUUGACUACCCACAGUCCCCCAGGACUCCCAUCUAGUUGCGGGGCACUGCACUCUAUCCACUUCAGUAUUAUGGGCUGAUUUGUGUCCGCCAAAAUUGAUGUGUUGAAGCUGUAAUCCCUAUCACAGAAUGUGACUGUGUUCAGACACAGAGCCCAUAAAGAGGUUUAAGGUUAAAUAAGAUCACAUAGGUGGACCCUAAUGAUGCCCUUGAACUUGCCAUCCUCCUGCCUCAUAAGAAAGAAAAUUUGGAUACACGAAGAAAUCCUAAAAUGUAUGGUACACAGGGAAUAGACCGAGAAGGAGGCAGUCUCUUGCAGAGAAGCUUCAGGAGAAACCAAACCUGCUGGCAUCUUGAUCUUGGACUUCUAGGCUUCAGAACUGUGAGAAAUAAAUUCCUGUUAUUAAAGGUGCCCAGUCUGUGAUUUAUUGUUACGGUGACCCUAGCUAGCCAAUACAGGCAUGAAGGAAGCCUUCCUGGACCGUUUCUGUGGCCCUCCUUCCUCCUCCAUGUCUCAGAAACUCUUUCCCUCAAAUUGGCCUGGUACAACUUUUCUUUCUGUUAUGUUCCAGAUAAUCCUGUUUUUUUGAGACAAAAACUUUUACUUAAUGACAAUUUUUUGAUAAAAGAGUUUUACUUCUACACCUCUUGUUUGAUUUUUG